UACGAAGGGGGCUAGCGUUGUUCGGAAUUACUGGGCGUAAAGCGCGCGCAGGCGGUUCUUCAAGUCAGUGGUGAAAGCCCGGAGCUCAACUCCGGAACUGCCAUUGAAGCUGUAGAACUUGAGGAUGAGAGAGGUGAGUGGAAUUCCCAGUGUAGAGGUGAAAUUCGUAGAUAUUGGGAAGAACACCGGUGGCGAAGGCGGCAUCCUGGACCGGCAUUGACGCUGAGUGAGCGAAAGCCAGGGGAGCAAACGGG
This 254-nucleotide ribosomal RNA is filed under the name uncultured bacterium. Its description in RNAcentral is "partial 16S ribosomal RNA". It matches the Rfam family "Bacterial small subunit ribosomal RNA", at positions 524 to 776 of the family's 1533-position model. The record is from RNAcentral.